GACGAACGCUGGCGGCGUGCUUAACACAUGCAAGUCGAACGAAGAGCGAUGGAAGCUUGCUUCUAUCAAUCUUAGUGGCGAACGGGUGAGUAACGCGUAAUCAACCUGCCCUUCAGAGGGGGAUAACAGUUGGAAACGACUGCUAAUACCGCAUACGAUCUAAUCUCGGCAUCGAGGAUAGAUGAAAGGUGGCCUCUACAUGUAAGCUAUCACUGAAGGAGGGGAUUGCGUCUGAUUAGCUAGUUGGAGGGGUAACGGCCCACCAAGGCGAUGAUCAGUAGCCGGUCUGAGAGGAUGAACGGCCACAUUGGGACUGAGACACGGCCCAGACUCCUACGGGAGGCAGCAGUGGGGAAUCUUCCGCAAUGGACGAAAGUCUGACGGAGCAACGCCGCGUGAGUGAUGACGGCCUUCGGGUUGUAAAGCUCUGUUAAUCGGGACGAAAGGCCUUCUUGCGAAUAGUGAGAAGGAUGGACG
Molecule: ribosomal RNA, 477 nt
Filed under: Veillonella parvula
Lineage: Bacteria; Bacillati; Bacillota; Negativicutes; Veillonellales; Veillonellaceae
Description: bacterial SSU rRNA
Rfam family: Bacterial small subunit ribosomal RNA
Source: RNAcentral